This 464-nucleotide ribosomal RNA is filed under the name Vreelandella stevensii. RNAcentral describes it as "partial 16S ribosomal RNA". It matches the Rfam family "Bacterial small subunit ribosomal RNA", at positions 338 to 795 of the family's 1533-position model. The record is from RNAcentral. Lineage: Bacteria; Pseudomonadati; Pseudomonadota; Gammaproteobacteria; Oceanospirillales; Halomonadaceae.
CCUACGGGGCGCAGCAGUGGGGAAUAUUGGACAAUGGGCGAAAGCCUGAUCCAGCCAUGCCGCGUGUGUGAAGAAGGCCUUCGGGUUGUAAAGCACUUUCAGUGGGGAAGAAAGCCUUGGGGCUAAUACCCUCGAGGAAGGACAUCACCCACAGAAGAAGCACCGGCUAACUCCGUGCCAGCAGCCGCGGUAAUACGGAGGGUGCGAGCGUUAAUCGGAAUUACUGGGCGUAAAGCGCGCGUAGGCGGUCUGAUAAGCCGGUUGUGAAAGCCCCGGGCUCAACCUGGGAACGGCAUCCGGAACUGUCAGGCUAGAGUGCAGGAGAGGAAGGUAGAAUUCCCGGUGUAGCGGUGAAAUGCGUAGAGAUCGGGAGGAAUACCAGUGGCGAAGGCGGCCUUCUGGACUGACACUGACGCUGAGGUGCGAAAGCGUGGGUAGCAAACAGGAUUAGAACCCGAGUAGUC